RNAcentral lists this ribosomal RNA (475 nucleotides) under Munidopsis cylindrophthalma. RNAcentral's name for it is "partial 16S ribosomal RNA". It matches the Rfam family "Bacterial large subunit ribosomal RNA", at positions 1858 to 2585 of the family's 2925-position model. Lineage: Eukaryota; Metazoa; Arthropoda; Malacostraca; Decapoda; Munidopsidae. The record is from RNAcentral.
CCUGCCCACUGAAGUUUUUUUAAAGGCCGCGGUAUAUUAACUGUGCAAAGGUAGCAUAAUAAUUAGUUUUUUAAUUGAAGACUUGAAUGAAUGGUUGAACAAAGAAAAAUCUGUCUUUAGUAUUUUCUUUGAAUUUUACAUUUAAGUGAAAAGGCUUAAAUUAAUUUAAGGGACGAUAAGACCCUAUAAAUCUUUACAUUUAUUUAAUAUUUAUUAGUUAAGUUGUAAAUUUAUUAAUAUGUUAAAAUAUGUUAUAUUGGGGUGAUAGAGAUAUAAUAAAAAACUGUCUUAAUAAAAAACAUAAAUAAUUGAGUUUUUAAUAAAAGAUCCUUUAUAAAGAUUAAAAGUUUAAGUUACUUUAGGGAUAACAGCGUAAUUUUUUUUGAGAGUUCAUAUCGAAAAGAGAGUUUGCGACCUCGAUGUUGAAUUAAAAUUUCUUUAUGGUGCAGAAGUCAUAUAAGAGAGUCUGUUCGAC